Molecule: transfer RNA, 35 nt
Filed under: Bucklandiella rupestris
Lineage: Eukaryota; Viridiplantae; Streptophyta; Bryopsida; Grimmiales; Grimmiaceae
Description: partial transfer RNA-Leu
Source: RNAcentral
AAGGGGGUAUGGCGGAAUUGGUAGACGCUACGGAC